This 587-nucleotide ribosomal RNA is filed under the name uncultured organism. RNAcentral describes it as "bacterial SSU rRNA". It matches the Rfam family "Bacterial small subunit ribosomal RNA", at positions 687 to 1258 of the family's 1533-position model. The record is from RNAcentral.
UGCGUAGAUAUCUACCGGAACGCCAAAGACGAGGGUAGACGACUGGGCCGAUUCUGACGCUCAGGCACGAAAGCGUGGGGAGCAAACAGGAUUAGAUACCCUGGUAGUCCACGCCGUAAACGAUGUGCACUAGGUCCCGGAGGCUCUGACGCCAUCGGGGCCGAAGCAAAAGUGUUAAGUGCACCGCCUGGGGAGUACGGUCGCAAGGCUAAAACUCAAAGGAAUUGACGGGGGCUCACACAAGCGGUGGAGCAUGUGGCUUAAUUCGAAGCAACGCGAAGAACCUUAUCCAGGGUUUGACAUGCACGGAUACCCUUCUGGAAACAGAAGUAAGUUGCCCUUACGGGUGAAACGUGCACAGGUGCUGCAUGGCUGUCGUCAGCUCGUGCUGUGAAGUGUUGGGUUAAGUCCCUUAACGAGCGAAACCCCUGUCGUUAGUUGCUAACAGACCUUCGGGUGCUGAGGACUCUAACGAGACUGCCGGUGUCAAACCGGAGGAAGGCGGGGAUGACGUCAAGUCCUCAUGGCCUUUAUGCCCUGGGCUGCACACGUGCUACAAUGGUAUGUACAAAGGGAAGCAAUACCGU